Molecule: ribosomal RNA, 515 nt
Filed under: uncultured Eubacteriales bacterium
Lineage: Bacteria; Bacillati; Bacillota; Clostridia; Eubacteriales
Description: bacterial SSU rRNA
Rfam family: Bacterial small subunit ribosomal RNA
Source: RNAcentral
GAGGUUUGUAGUCCUCGGCGUCAGGAUGAACGCUGGCGGACGUGCUUAACACAUGCAAGUCGAACGGAACUGUCAUUUUGUAAGCAAUUAGCUUGCUAAGGGUGGAAAUGUUGGCAGUUUAGUGGCGGACGGGUGAGUAACGCGUGGGUAACCUGCCUUACACAGGGGGAUAACACCUGGAAACAGGUGCUAAUACCGCAUAACAGGAAGAGGCGCAUGCCACUUUCUUGAAAACUCCGGUGGUGUAAGAUGGACCCGCGUCUGAUUAGCUGGUUGCGGGGUAAGGCCCACCAAGGCGACGAUCAGUAGCCGGCCUGAGAGGGUGGACGGCCACAUUGGGACUGAGACACGGCCCAAACUCCUACGGGAGGCAGCAGUGAGGAAUAUUGGACAAUGGGGGGAACCCUGAUCCAGCGACGCCGCGUGAGUGAAGAAGUAUUUCGGUAUGUAAAGCUCUAUCAGCAGGGAAGAAAGAAAUGACGGUACCUGACUAAGAAGCCCCGGCUAACUACGUG